GCUAGUUGGUCCAAAAUGCCUUCCAUGAAUCUGUUCAAGUCUUGAGCGGUUUUAAGUACUGUAGGAGAUACAUAAGGCUACAAGAAUGGCAAGUAGGAAUUCUGUUACUCCGGAGAGACUAUUCAUUAGCAGUUGCAAACACACCGAGGCCUCGAGAAAAUUGAAGUCAAGGGCUGGAUUGUAAGCGACGACAACUGGCCACUGCUGAGGCUCGUGCAUCUCCCUGGAAAACACGUGAAGAACUUUUCCUCAAAUUACAAAGCUGGCAUGAGGAGAAUGUGCAUCAUUAGAUAAAAAGAGAGCUGCUUUCUAGCAAAGUGGUGAUGGCAACUUAGAAGCUAUAGAAGAUGAGUGCUCUGUUGUGGAGGAACCUCCUUUGUUAUUUCAAUUGAGUGUCAUAGGAUAUAUUUCCUGAAAUUUACCUCUUUGAUGUUCAGUGCUGUUUGUCACACGUGGCAAGGAAACAAGCUGUUAUAUCUGUCAAAUACUCACAACAAGCUGUUCCACAUUUAGAAAUUAAGGAAAGCGACAAGGAAAAGGCGAAGAGAAGAAACUGCCCAUACUUCAUUGCCCUCCUUUUGAGUUAUGCAGCAUGAGUGGCUGUCAGAACUGUGUCAUGUUUUUCAACAUGCUGAGGAAUUAAUAACGAUGUAUGAUGAUGACUCAGCAGCCAGAGCUGCUCUGGAAUAAAUUCCAGAUGAGGGUCUCAAAGCUUUCCUAAAAAUGGAACCAAAGCUAAAAAAACAAAUCCAGACAAAUAUUUUUUCUUCUUGGUUUAUUUCUAAUAAACAAAAGUAUAAAAAAAACUGAGGUCAUUUUUAGAGCCCUGCCAAUGAUUGGUACAUGUAUAUACAGAUUACACUUAAGGUAACAUUCAUAAACUGUAACUUCAGUGAACAACAGUGACACUAAUCCUUACUUUUUACAAGGAAAUGUUUUUUUUUUUUUUUUUACUUUUUUAAAAUAA
Molecule: long non-coding RNA, 967 nt
Organism: Pocillopora verrucosa
Lineage: Eukaryota; Metazoa; Cnidaria; Anthozoa; Scleractinia; Pocilloporidae
Source: RefSeq, a predicted model, not a curated record